This 493-nucleotide ribosomal RNA is filed under the name uncultured Sphingobacteriales bacterium. RNAcentral's name for it is "bacterial SSU rRNA". It matches the Rfam family "Bacterial small subunit ribosomal RNA", at positions 904 to 1382 of the family's 1533-position model. The record is from RNAcentral. Lineage: Bacteria; Pseudomonadati; Bacteroidota; Sphingobacteriia; Sphingobacteriales.
GCCAGCCCGCUCAGAACGUUAAAGAAUUGACGGGGCCCGCACAAGCGUGGAGCAUGUGGUUUAAUUCGAUGAUACGCGAGGAACCUUACCUGGGCUCAAAUGUAUGUUGACGUAUUCUGAAAGGGAUACUUCUUCGGACAAUAUACAAGGUGCUGCAUGGUUGUCGUCAGCUCGUGCCGUGAGGUGUCGGGUUAAGUCCCAUAACGAGCGCAACCCCUAUCAUUAGUUGCCAUCAGGUCAAGCUGGGGACUCUAAUGAAACUGCCUACGCAAGUAGUGAGGAAGGUGGGGAUGACGUCAAAUCAGCACGGCCCUUACGUCCAGGGCUACACACGUGCUACAAUGGCCGGUACAAAGGGCAGCUACCUGGUGACAGGAUGCUAAUCUCAAAAGCCGGUCUCAGUUCGGAUCGGAGUCUGCAACCCGACUCCGUGAAGCUGGAAUCGCUAGUAAUCGUGAAUCAGAAUGUCACGGUGAAUACGUUCCCGGGCCUU